AACUCUGGUAUUGAUUGGUGCUUGCAUCAUGAUUUACAUUUGACCGAUUGGCGAACUGGUGAGUAACACGUGGGAAACCUGCCCAGAAGCGGGGGAUAACACCUGGAAACAGAUGCUAAUACCGCAUAACAACUUGGACCGCAUGGUCCGAGCUUGAAAGAUGGCUUCGGCUAUCACUUUUGGAUGGUCCCGCGGCGUAUUAGCUAGAUGGUGGGGUAACGGCUCACCAUGGCAAUGAUACGUAGCCGACCUGAGAGGGUAAUCGGCCACAUUGGGACUGAGACACGGCCCAAACUCCUACGGGAGGCAGCAGUAGGGAAUCUUCCACAAUGGACGAAAGUCUGAUGGAGCAACGCCGCGUGAGUGAAGAAGGGUUUCGGCUCGUAAAACUCUGUUGUUAAAGAAGAACAUAUCUGAGAGUAACUGUUCAGGUAUUGACGGUAUUUAACCAGAAAGCCACGGCUAACUACGUGCCAGCAGCCGCGGUAAUACGUAGGUGGCAAGCGUUGUCCGGAUUUAUUGGGCGUAAAGCGAGCGCAGGCGGUUUUUUAAGUCUGAUGUGAAAGCCUUCGGCUCAACCGAAGAAGUGCAUCGGAAACUGGGAAACUUGAGUGCAGAAGAGGACAGUGGAACUCCAUGUGUAGCGGUGAAAUGCGUAGAUAUAUGGAAGAACACCAGUGGCGAAGGCGGCUGUCUGGUCUGUAACUGACGCUGAGGCUCGAAAGUAUGGGUAGCAAACAGGAUUAGAUACCCUGGUAGUCCAUACCGUAAACGAUGAAUGCUAAGUGUUGGAGGGUUUCCGCCCUUCAGUGCUGCAGCU
RNAcentral lists this ribosomal RNA (820 nucleotides) under uncultured bacterium. RNAcentral's name for it is "bacterial SSU rRNA". It matches the Rfam family "Bacterial small subunit ribosomal RNA", at positions 70 to 853 of the family's 1533-position model. The record is from RNAcentral.